AGGUUGCUGGGGGAUUAGUGGCGAACGGGUGAGUAACACGUGAGUAACCUGCCCUUGACUCUGGGAUAAGCCUGGGAAACUGGGUCUAAUACCGGAUAUGACUCCUCAUCGCAUGGUGGGGGGUGGAAAGCUUUUGUGGUUUUGGAUGGACUCGCGGCCUAUCAGCUUGUUGGUGGGGUAAUGGCCUACCAAGGCGACGACGGGUAGCCGGCCUGAGAGGGUGACCGGCCACACUGGGACUGAGACACGGCCCAGACUCCUACGGGAGGCAGCAGUGGGGAAUAUUGCACAAUGGGCGCAAGCCUGAUGCAGCGACGCCGCGUGAGGGAUGACGGCCUUCGGGUUGUAAACCUCUUUCAGUAGGGAAGAAGCCGUAAGGUGACGGUACCUGCAGAAGAAGCGCCGGCUAACUACGUGCCAGCAGCCGCGGUAAUACGUAGGGCGCAAGCGUUAUCCGGAAUUAUUGGGCGUAAAGAGCUCGUAGGCGGUUUGUCGCGUCUGCUGUGAAAGACCGGGGCUCAAC
RNAcentral lists this ribosomal RNA (523 nucleotides) under Arthrobacter sp. RNAcentral describes it as "bacterial SSU rRNA". It matches the Rfam family "Bacterial small subunit ribosomal RNA", at positions 77 to 613 of the family's 1533-position model. Lineage: Bacteria; Bacillati; Actinomycetota; Actinomycetes; Micrococcales; Micrococcaceae. RNAcentral also lists the same sequence under 1 other name. The record is from RNAcentral.